This is a small nuclear RNA of Psammomys obesus (fat sand rat), 104 nucleotides long. NCBI's taxonomy places the organism in Eukaryota, Metazoa, Chordata, Mammalia, Rodentia, Muridae. The record is from RefSeq and is a predicted model, not a curated record.
GUCCUCUCUUUGGCAGCACAAAUAUUAAAACUGGAAUGAUACAGAGAUUAGCAUGGCCCUUGCAGAAGGAUAACAUGCAAAUUCAUGAACCGUUCCGUAUUUUA